This 253-nucleotide ribosomal RNA is filed under the name uncultured bacterium. RNAcentral's name for it is "partial 16S ribosomal RNA". It matches the Rfam family "Bacterial small subunit ribosomal RNA", at positions 524 to 776 of the family's 1533-position model. The record is from RNAcentral.
UACAGAGGGUGCGAGCGUUAAUCGGAAUUACUGGGCGUAAAGCGCACGCAGGCGGUCAUGUAAGUCGGGUGUGAAAUCCCCGGGCUCAACCUGGGAACUGCAUUCGAGACUGCAUGGCUAGAGUACGGUAGAGGAGGGCGGAAUUCCCGGUGUAGCGGUGAAAUGCGUAGAUAUCGGGAGGAACAUCAGUGGCGAAGGCGGCCCUCUGGACCAGUACUGACGCUCAGGUGCGAAAGCGUGGGGAGCAAACAGG